Molecule: ribosomal RNA, 253 nt
Filed under: uncultured bacterium
Lineage: Bacteria
Description: partial 16S ribosomal RNA
Rfam family: Bacterial small subunit ribosomal RNA
Source: RNAcentral
UACGUAGGGGGCUAGCGUUGUCCGGAAUCAUUGGGCGUAAAGCGCGCGUAGGCGGCCCGGUAAGUCCGCUGUAAAAGUCAAAGGCUCAACCUUUGAAUGUCAGUGGAUACUGCCGGGCUAGAGUCCGGAAGAGGCGAGUGGAACUCCUGGUGUAGCGGUGGAAUGCGCAGAUAUCAGGAAGAACACCGCCGGCGAAGGCAGCUCGCUGGGACGAUACUGACGCUGAGGCGCGAAAGCGUGGGGAGCGAACAGG